This 23-nucleotide non-coding RNA is filed under the name Arabidopsis thaliana (thale cress). The record is from RNAcentral. Lineage: Eukaryota; Viridiplantae; Streptophyta; Magnoliopsida; Brassicales; Brassicaceae.
UGAUAGCCUAGAACACCACUUCC